CUCGUCCGCGCGGCAGCUGGUCUCAAGAGCCGAGAGCUUGCGAGGGCCUUGGCGGGUUGCGGCGGCGCCGGUGCGGUGAGGGUCGGCCGUCUGUGGUCGGGCUGCGGGCGGCUCGGGCAGGUCGCGGGCGCCACAGGUGGAAGAAGAAAGGUGCCACUUUGGCAUGAAGAUAGACUCACUUAGACGUCAAUCUUUUAAGCUGAGUGCAUUGUGAUUUCCAAUAAUUGAGGCAGUGGUUCUAAAAGCUGUCUACAUUAAUGAAAAGAGCAAUGUGGCCAGCUUGACUAAGCCGCCAGUGUGUGGAACGCGGGCAGGACGCCACCGGGUCUCGACGGACUUGUGCAUGUUAGCAGUAUAGAUUUAUGUAAGGUGGUUUAAAACUCUGGUGUUUUAAAAUAGUCUUAACUGCUCAUAAUAUGGAGACAUAUGAGAGUCCCUCUCCUCUCCCGCGUGAGCCCGCAGGAGAAGCGAUGAUGGAGAACCGAGCUUGCCCCUUCCAAGUGCUGCCCCAUGAACAGUCUCCACCACCUCCCCUGCAAACGUCCAGUGAUGCAGAGGUAAUGGACGUUGGCUCUGGUGGUGAUGGACAGUCCGAACCUCCUGCCGAGGACCCUUUCAACUUCUACGGAGCUUCUCUUCUCUCCAAAGGAUCCUUCUCUAAGGGCCACCUCCUCAUAGACCCGAACUGUAGUGGCCACAGCCCGCGCACUGCCCGGCACGCACCCGCAGUCCGGAAGUUCUCCCCUGACCUUAAGUUGCUUAAGGAUGUAAAGAUUAGUGUGAGCUUUACUGAGAGCUGUAGGAGUAAGGACAGGAAGGUGCUGUACACAGGAGUAGAACGCAGCACUCGGGCUGAAUGUAGCCUGCUCCUUAGUCCUGUCAGUGGGGACGUGCAUGCUUGUCCCUUUGGCGGGAGUGUUGGUAAUGGGGUAGGCCUAGGGGGUGAGAGUACAGAUAAGAAGGAUGAGGAAAAUGAGCUGGAUCAGGAAAAGAGAGUGGAGUACGCAGUGCUCGAUGAGUUAGAAGAUUUUACUGACAAUUUGGAGCUAGAUGAAGAAGGAACAGGCGGGUUCACGGCUAAAGCAAUCGUUCAAAGAGACAGAGUGGAUGAAGAGGCCUUGAAUUUCUCCUAUGAGGAUGAAUUUGACAAUGAUGUGGAUGCUUUGCUAGAAGAAGGUCUUUCUGCUCCCAAAAAGAGGCGGAUGGAGGAAAAAUAUGGCGGAGACAGUGAUCAUCCAUCUGAUGGAGAGACAAGUGUGCAGCCAAUGAUGACCAAGAUUAAAACAGUGCUCAAGAGUCGUGGCCGUCCACCUACAGAGCCAUUGCCUGAUGGAUGGAUCAUGACUUUUCAUAACUCUGGAGUUCCUGUAUACCUGCACAGAGAGUCUCGAGUGGUCACCUGGUCCAGACCCUACUUCUUGGGAACGGGAAGCAUACGGAAACAUGACCCUCCUCUAAGCAGUAUCCCCUGUCUGCAUUACAAGAAAAUGAAGGAUAAUGAGGAACGGGAGCAAAACUCUGAUCUCACACCCAGUGGGGAGGUGUCACCUGCCAAGCCCCUGGGUCGAUCUGCAGAGUUAGAUUUCCCUUUGGAAGAGCCUGACUCCAUGGGUGGAGACUUGGGGUCCUUGGAUGAGAAGGACCCACUGGGGGCUGAGGCAGCCCCUGGAGCCUUGGGACAAGUGAAAGCUAAAGUUGAGGUUUGCAAAGAUGAAUCAGUUGAUCUAGAAGAAUUUCGUACCUACCUGGAGAAGCGUUUUGACUUUGAGCAAGUAACUGUGAAAAAAUUUAGGACUUGGGCUGAGCGCCGCCAGUUCAACCGUGAGAUGAAGCGGAAGCAGGCAGAGUCAGAGAGGCCCAUUCUGCCAGCCAACCAGAAGCUCAUCACCUUAUCUGUGCAAGAUGCACCUACAAAGAAAGAGUUUGUCAUCAAUCCCAAUGGGAAAUCCGAGGUCUGCAUCCUGCACGAAUACAUGCAGCGUGUCCUCAAGGUCCGCCCUGUUUAUAAUUUCUUUGAAUGUGAGAAUCCAAGUGAGCCUUUUGGUGCCUCCGUGACCAUUGAUGGUGUGACUUACGGAUCUGGAACUGCAAGCAGCAAAAAACUUGCGAAGAAUAAAGCUGCCCGAGCCACACUGGAAAUUCUCAUCCCAGACUUUGUUAAACAGACCUCUGAGGAGAAGCCCAAAGACAGUGAGGAACUGGAGUAUUUUAACCACAUCAGCAUUGAGGAUUCACGAGUCUACGAACUGACCAGCAAGGCCGGGCUGUUGUCUCCGUAUCAGAUCCUCCAUGAGUGCCUUAAAAGAAACCAUGGAAUGGGUGACACAUCCAUCAAGUUUGAAGUGGUUCCUGGGAAAAACCAGAAGAGCGAAUAUGUCAUGGCGUGCGGCAAACACACAGUGCGCGGGUGGUGUAAGAAUAAACGAGUUGGGAAACAAUUAGCCUCUCAAAAAAUCCUUCAGCUGCUGCACCCACAUGUCAAGAAUUGGGGGUCCUUACUGCGCAUGUAUGGCCGUGAGAGCAGCAAAAUGGUGAAGCAGGCCCUUACGCUCCUGUUUUGGGUGGUCAUGAGCACACUGCUGCUUGGCAGUUCUGAGAGCAAGCUUUGGGUCCCUAGGAGACCUCUGACAAGAGUGUGAUAGAGCUACAGCAGUAUGCCAAGAAGAACAGGCCCAACCUUCACAUCCUGAGCAAGCUGCAAGAGGAAAUGAAGAGGCUGGCUGCAGAGCGGGAGGAGACUCGGAAGAAGCCCAAGAUGUCAAUUGUAGCAUCUGCCCAGCCUGGUGGUGAGCCCUUGUGCACAGUGGAUGUAUGAGGUAGGCGGCAUGGGCCAACAGUGCUUCCCAGGAGACCAUCAGCAACACAUCACUGCAGCACCAGGCCUCCAACCUAAGUUCCCUUCCUGUGGCAAUGUCUGGGCUUUGCUCUGACAUGCAGGGACAGCUGUGACCCUACAGCACACGUUCAAAGAAGCAGUUCUUCUGGAAGCUGCUCUCAAUGUGACUUGAUAUAUUUAAGGAUCAGCUAUAAGUAACUGCACAAGUGGAAGCUGAUAGCCAGCUGUAGAUCCUGCUUGUACGUAUCUGCUGCAGACUGUUUUUAUGAAGGUUUCCAUGAAUUUUAGUACACUAUAUGCACUGACAAGAACUGAUACUUGGUUGAUAGAUGAGAUGACCAGGUUUUAUAGCUUUGGCUGGCCUAUGAUGCCAGGUAGUCCUUCUGCUCAUAGUUCCUUCUGGUGGACCCACUGAGACCUGGUCAGAAGGUACAGGUAUCCUGUACUGUAGUAUUAACUGCUUUGUGUGUUUCCCAUUUUCCUCUGAAAAAGUUGUAACAGAAAGGGUGGUUUCAGGCUAUUUUGGCUUAAAAUAAAACAGAAUUUUAGCACCAGAA
Molecule: RNA transcript, 3393 nt
Organism: Alexandromys fortis (reed vole)
Lineage: Eukaryota; Metazoa; Chordata; Mammalia; Rodentia; Cricetidae
Gene: Dgcr8
Gene name: DGCR8 microprocessor complex subunit
Exons: 14
Source: RefSeq, a predicted model, not a curated record